CAGGAUACUAUCGGGAUAGAGUUUGAUUUAGGGAGAUCGGAACUUAGGGAGGAGUAGUGAAAUGCGUUGAUACCCUAGGGAACNCCAGUGGCGAAGGCGGAUCUCUGGAAACAAACUGACACUGAGACACGAAAGCUAGGGGAGCGAAGCAGAUUAGAGACNUGCGUAGUCCUAGCCCUAAACGAAUGCUUGCUAGCCGCAUUUGCCCCGCCUUUGGCGGGGUAGGUGUAGCGUAGGUAACCCGAUAAGCAAGCCACCUGGGGAGUACGGCCGCAAGGUUGAAACUCAAAGGAAUUGGCGGGGAGGCACACAACCAGUGGAACAUGUGGUUCAAUUCGAAACGAACCGAAGAACCUCACCAAGGUUUGACAUGCCGAUGAUGUCUCCGUGAAAACGGGGUUUCCGCAAGGACAUCGGCACAGGUACUGCAUGGCUGUCGUCAGCUCGUUCCGUGAGGAGUACCCUUAAGUGGGACAACGAGCGCAACCCCUAUCUUGUGUUAAAUCUGUCACAAGAGACCGACCCGUCUUUGACGGGUAGGAAGGCAGGGCAGACGUCAAGUCAGCAUGGUCCUUAUACCUUGGGCUACACACAUGUUACAAUGAAAGGAACAACGGGUUUUGCUAUCCUGUAAAGGAAUGCAAAUCUCUCAAAUUCUUUCUCAGUGGGGAUUGAGGUCUGCAACUCGACCUCAUGAACACGGAAUUGGUAGUAAUCGUGGAUCAGCUAUGCCGCGGUGAAUACGUUCUUGCCUCUUGCACACACCGCCCGUCAAGCCAACAAAGUCGGAGAUACUUGAAUCCCGAUUUAAUCGGGAGAGAGUAUUACCGGCGAUGGGGGUUAAGUCGUAACAAGGUAGCCGUA
Molecule: ribosomal RNA, 864 nt
Filed under: uncultured bacterium
Lineage: Bacteria
Description: bacterial SSU rRNA
Rfam family: Bacterial small subunit ribosomal RNA
Source: RNAcentral